Molecule: ribosomal RNA, 492 nt
Filed under: uncultured bacterium
Lineage: Bacteria
Description: partial 16S ribosomal RNA
Rfam family: Bacterial small subunit ribosomal RNA
Source: RNAcentral
GAUGAACGCUAGCUACAGGCUUAACACAUGCAAGUCGAGGGGAAACGCCAUCUUAAGCUUGCUUUUUAUGGGCGUCGACCGGCGCACGGGUGAGUAACGCGUAUCCAACCUGCCCAUCACUUGGGAAUAACCUUUCGAAAGUAAGACUAAUACCCAAUGACAUCCCACGAAGACAUCUGAAUGUGAUUAAAGAUUUAUCGGUGAUGGAUGGGGAUGCGUCUGAUUAGCUUGUUGGCGGGGUAACGGCCCACCAAGGCAACGAUCAGUAGGGGUUCUGAGAGGAAGGUCCCCCACAUUGGAACUGAGACACGGUCCAAACUCCUACGGGAGGCAGCAGUGAGGAAUAUUGGUAAAUGGGCGAGAGCCUGAACCAGCCAAGUAGCGUGCAGGAUGACGGCCCUAUGGGUUGUAAACUGCUUUUAUAAGGGAAUAAAGUGGGUCUCGGGAGACUUUUUGCAUGUACCUUAUGAAUAAGGACCGGCUAAUUCCGUG